Molecule: long non-coding RNA, 2014 nt
Filed under: Oryza sativa (Asian cultivated rice)
Lineage: Eukaryota; Viridiplantae; Streptophyta; Magnoliopsida; Poales; Poaceae
Description: long non-coding RNA (OSAT_LNC000071)
Source: RNAcentral
CGGCCAACGGUACCUCCGCGGCACCAAAGUCCAUUCCUCAUGGAUACAUCGAGGACGGACAUGACUGACGACACAACAGUCGCAACCGUUGCUCAAGGUUGCUACUGUUCUCCUCUUGCACCCAUCUUCAUUGUUGACUGAACCUGAAUGGACGGUAACCUUCUUCUCGCCCUCUGCAUUGCAGGUCUGAUUAAGCUCUAGUCUCCUUCACUUUUACCUUCCCACUUGUUUCUGCCUUCCGGUAUUCUUUGUUUUCCACUAGCGUGUGAUACAUGAGUGCAAGGUGCUCGAUGAAAGGUCGGCAAGGAGUCCACUACUAGGAGAUCAAUGCUUGUGGGGGGCAAUGCAGUUGGAUCUGCUGGCACAAAGUGGCACAGGUUAGUGCCUGCUCCCACAUGGCUUGCAAUUGGCAUUGAUAUCUAGAUUUUUCAGCUCUUUAGAAACACCAUCCAACUCGCUGGAGAUGUGCUGAUAGGCGAGCUUUCUGGGAGAAACAAUGUGUGCAUUAUACUGAACUCCAUUCACCAGAUCAACAUAUAUAUAGGCUGCGUUCUUUUCUCAGUUCAACAGUGAUUACGGAAAACGGAGCGAUCCAUUAGCACAUGAUUAAUUAAGUAUCUGCUAUUCUUUUUUAAAAAAAUGGACUAAUAUGAUUUUUUUAAGUAACUUUCGUAUAGAAACUUUUUACAGAAAAAUGCACCGUUUAGUAGUUUGAAAAGCGUGCUAACGGAAAACGAGGACUAGAACUGAGAAAAGAACGCAGCCAUAGUGGUAUAAAUUUAGUCCUUUUUUAUGUGUUUAUACCUUGGUUCAUCUUCAUGUCUGUAAGCAAUGUUGGCAAUUCAGCAUUUUUUGAGAGAAAUGAUAUCAUAUUGAAAGGUCCACGAGUUCAGCAUUUUCUGUAAGUGUCUGUUUAACUCAUAUGCAUGUUGCAGGGGUUCCACGAGGACGCUAACGACCGUGUGAUUUAUUAGUGGAAAAAAUGCUUCAGCCCAAAUUGGUCUACUGUUUUCAGUCAAUGUGAAAGGAAGCUUAAUGAUAUCAAUGUAUAUAUGGGAGUUUAGAGGAGUUUUGGGUUUGAGGAGCACUCUGUUUCUUCACUUUAGUCUCUCUCUUCCAGCCUAUUUAUGAUUGGAGAACUCUUAUUGCAGGAAUUGUCAUUUAAAAAGAGAAGGGUUUGUCAAACUAAUUCCUUUUUGCUACAGCUUUCAGUACUGUCCAUUAAAUCUGAUGUGCUUCUAAUUAAUCUUAUACACAAUAUGCCAAAAUUUCAGCAUUUUAAACACUGUUGCUUUCAUUUGCAGAACAAUAAUUGGUUAAUAAAACUAACACUAUAUUUCCAUUACCAGCUGGUCUGAUGAGUGGUAAUUAAUUAGUUGGGUGUUGCAAAUAUACAGGUAGAGAGAUAGCAGAAAGGUAUGCCAAUCAGAGAUCUUGUGGGAAUUCUCAUCUGUACUAUCUCUCUACCUGCAUAGAUUAUAUUGGAGUAUUGCAUAAUCUCACAAAAAUGAUGGGUCUUCAGAAGGAAUUCUAGAGAUAUUUUUGAAGGAAUUCUAGAGAUAAGUCUACGUGUGUUGAAAAUUGGGGAGUUUGGCACAAGGAUGGAAGAAGAUGGGAACAUCUAAAAUUGGGGAGUUUGGCACAAGGAUGGAAGAAGAUGGGAACAUCUGUACUAUGGUAGUAUGGUCUAUGUGAGAUUAUGCAAUACUUCAAUAUAAGAAUGGGAGAAGAUGUGAACUCUGGUUCUCUGAAUUAUUUAAGUCACCAGCAAUAACAUUACGACGAAGUAGUACAGCAAGAUUUUAGGCAUUGGCUAACCUUUUCUGAUCCAUGCAAUGGUGAUGGAAAAAUCAUAGUUGCAAGCCAAGAAUUAACUGGACAAUAUGAAGAUACAUAUAUGAAAUUUGUGAUUUUUCUUUGUAUAGAGAGUCUUUUUAAUGGAUAACCUCGCUCUGCAUCUUACUCUGCCACUGAGGCCACUACCCAUCUUAAGAGGAUAUGAUUUUAAUCUGCG